This 429-nucleotide ribosomal RNA is filed under the name Actinomycetes bacterium. RNAcentral describes it as "Actinobacteria bacterium partial 16S ribosomal RNA". It matches the Rfam family "Bacterial small subunit ribosomal RNA", at positions 355 to 776 of the family's 1533-position model. Lineage: Bacteria; Bacillati; Actinomycetota; Actinomycetes. The record is from RNAcentral.
UAGGGAAUCUUCCGCAAUGGGCGAAAGCCUGACGGAGCAACGCCGCGUGAGUGAUGAAGGUCUUCGGAUCGUAAAACUCUGUUAUUAGGGAAGAACAAAUGUGUAAGUAACUAUGCACGUCUUGACGGUACCUAAUCAGAAAGCCACGGCUAACUACGUGCCAGCAGCCGCGGUAAUACGUAGGUGGCAAGCGUUAUCCGGAAUUAUUGGGCGUAAAGCGCGCGUAGGCGGUUUCUUAAGUCUGAUGUGAAAGCCCACGGCUCAACCGUGGAGGGUCAUUGGAAACUGGAAAACUUGAGUGCAGAAGAGGAAAGUGGAAUUCCAUGUGUAGCGGUGAAAUGCGCAGAGAUAUGGAGGAACACCAGUGGCGAAGGCGACUUUCUGGUCUGUAACUGACGCUGAUGUGCGAAAGCGUGGGGAUCAAACAGG